CCUACGGGUGGCAGCAGUGAGGAAUAUUGGUCAAUGGGCGCGAGCCUGAACCAGCCAAGUAGCGUGAAGGAUGACUGCCCUACGGGUUGUAAACUUCUUUUAUAAAGGAAUAAAGUGAGGCACGUGUGCCUUUCCGAGGGUACUUUAUGAAUAAGGAUCGGCUAACUCCGUGCCAGCAGCCGCGGUAAUACGGAGGAUCCGAGCGUUAUCCGGAUUUAUUGGGUUUAAAGGGUGCGUAGAUGGGUUGUUAAGUCAGUUGUGAAAGUUUGCGGCUCAACCGUAAAAUUGCAAUUGAUACUGGCAGUCUUGAGUACAGUUGAGGUAGGCGGAAUUCGUGGUGUAGCGGUGAAAUGCUUAGAUAUCACGAAGAACUCCGAUUGCGAAGGCAGCUUACUGGACUGCCACUGACGUUGAGGCACGAAAGUGUGGGUAUCGAACAGGAUUAGAUACCCGUGUAGUC
Molecule: ribosomal RNA, 460 nt
Filed under: uncultured bacterium
Lineage: Bacteria
Description: partial 16S ribosomal RNA
Rfam family: Bacterial small subunit ribosomal RNA
Source: RNAcentral